This 425-nucleotide ribosomal RNA is filed under the name uncultured bacterium. RNAcentral's name for it is "partial 16S ribosomal RNA". It matches the Rfam family "Bacterial small subunit ribosomal RNA", at positions 354 to 796 of the family's 1533-position model. The record is from RNAcentral.
GUGGGGAAUAUUGGGCAAUGGGCGAAAGCCUGACGCAGCCAUGCCGCGUGGAUGAUGAAGGUCUUAGGAUUGUAAAAUCCUUUCACCGGUGAAGAUAAUGACUGUAGCCGGAGAAGAAGCCCCGGCUAACUUCGUGCCAGCAGCCGCGGUAAUACGAAGGGGGCUAGCGUUGCUCGGAUUUACUGGGCGUAAAGGGCGCGUAGGCGGACAUUUAAGUCAGGGGUGAAAUCCCGGGGCUCAACCUCGGAACUGCCUUUGAUACUGGGUGUCUUGAGUAUGAGAGAGGUGUGUGGAACUCCGAGUGUAGAGGUGAAAUUCGUAGAUAUUCGGAAGAACACCAGUGGCGAAGGCGACACACUGGCUCAUUACUGACGCUGAGGCGCGAAAGCGUGGGGAGCAAACAGGAUUAGAAACCCGUGUAGUCC